GAUAUACCUGUUUUACCCUUAUAGAAUCUGUUUUUUAAUCACGUUUGUACGCAUUCUCUCUCCACUCCCGUGCAAACCCUAGUCUUCUCUUUCUCGAUGUUUUCUCUCUCGUUAGGCAAACCGCCGCUCUGUUCCCCUCUUCUUCCGCCACUGUCAUCGCCGCCGUCAAAUCAGAUGACGAGCAAAGCGAGACCAACGGCACCCUUGACAUGUCAGCCAAAAGCGCAACCGCGACGAGGACGGGAAGAGAGACUUCGACGGCGGCAACGACGGAAGCCCUGCUCGGGGGGCGGCCGUGGAGGGUCUAGGGAAUUGGUGCUGCAAAUUGAAAUCGAUUUGCUGUUAUUAUUACUUCAUCCUCUUUCCCUUUCUUCUCCAUCUCCAAACUAAUUAUGUCAAGCCAGCAAAAGCAAGCAAAAAAUAAUUAUGGUUUUCUUCUACACUUGGAGUCCCUCAACAGAUGGUCAGUAAAUUGGUGCUGCAAAUUGAAAUCUCUAGUGUGAAAAUGGAACGGCGGCAGUGCCAUCACCAGAAAGAAAAUGUAUAGUUGCGUGUAUAAAAGAAAAGGAAAGAAUGAUGG
This is a non-coding RNA of Erythranthe guttata (spotted monkey flower), 580 nucleotides long. The record is from RefSeq and is a predicted model, not a curated record. NCBI's taxonomy places the organism in Eukaryota, Viridiplantae, Streptophyta, Magnoliopsida, Lamiales, Phrymaceae.